GACGAACGCUGGCGGCGUGCCUAAUACAUGCAAGUAGAACGCACAGUUUAUACCGUAGCUUGCUACACCAUAAACUGUGAGUUGCGAACGGGUGAGUAACGCGUAGGUAACCUACCUGGUAGCGGGGGAUAACUAUUGGAAACGAUAGCUAAUACCGCAUAAUAUUGAUUAUUGCAUGAUAAUUGAUUGAAAGAUGCUAUUGCAUCACUACCAGAUGGACCUGCGUUGUAUUAGCUAGUAGGUGAGGUAACGGCUCACCUAGGCGACGAUACAUAGCCGACCUGAGAGGGUGAUCGGCCACACUGGGACUGAGACACGGCCCAGACUCCUACGGGAGGCAGCAGUAGGGAAUCUUCGGCAAUGGACGAAAGUCUGACCGAGCAACGCCGCGUGAGUGAAGAAGGUUUUCGGAUCGUAAAGCUCUGUUGUAAGAGAAGAACGGGUGUGAGAGUGGAAAGUUCACACUGUGACGGUAUCUUACCAGAAAGGGACGGCUAACUACGUG
Molecule: ribosomal RNA, 505 nt
Filed under: uncultured bacterium
Lineage: Bacteria
Description: partial 16S ribosomal RNA
Rfam family: Bacterial small subunit ribosomal RNA
Source: RNAcentral